RNAcentral lists this long non-coding RNA (3797 nucleotides) under Homo sapiens (human). Its description in RNAcentral is "HSALNT0318961". The record is from RNAcentral. Lineage: Eukaryota; Metazoa; Chordata; Mammalia; Primates; Hominidae.
AAGUAAUAAAGAAAAGCAAAGUAAAGAAGCGUGGAAGAGUGGAAAGAUAGGAACUACCUAGACAUAUUCUUUUUCAAUGACAAUCAUGCUCUUUUAGUUUUUUAUGUCUAAGAUUAUUUAGAGAAAAAAUCUUAUUCUACCCUAAAAACCAUCAUGGCAACAAGUUUACUAUUUUGAAACAGGAGAAAAUUCCAUUUUAAAAAUGACAGCGAAUAGGAAGGACAUUCCAUGGUGAAAAUAUUUUCCUUACUUUCAUUCUCAAAAUAUUUGUUAGGACUAAGGGGAAAUAUACAAGUAAAUAUUACUGGAAAAAAUGUAUAGCCCUAUUAAAAUAUAUUUAUUAAGUUGAAAUUCCUUCAAAAUAAAAUUGUCUAGCCAAAGGUGAAAUCUACAAUAUCAGUUCCAAAGCAUUAUUAAGCACCUACAAAGCACAGUACCUAGCUCUGUGGAGGUCACAAAGAUUAAUAAACUUUUCAGAGACCAUGCAAAAUAUAUAUAUAUACUCAUAUUUUAAUACUGUCAAAUUUAGGAACAUCCACAUAAUAUAAUAUUUGGAUCCAAUUAUAUAACCUAUAAACUUUCCUUAAAUCUAUUCCCCAACUAUGGCUAUUUCACAGUUUUCUAAAAGAUAAUGAUAUAAGAAAUAUUUUCCAAUGUGUUUUAGGAUUUAAGGAAUGCUUAUACUUGGGAAACAGAAGAACUCUUUUGCUCGAAAUAUUUCUGAGAUCUUUGAUCCUAUAUCACUCCAAUCAAAAUAGCCUAGCAAAGGAUAUGUAUUAAGUGUAAUCACUUUUAAACAUCAAAAUGCCUCAGUAAAAUUUUCACUGAGUUAAGCUCACUCAAAUAAAUAUGCACAGCAUUAAUUUUACCACGUUACUUUGAAAGAUUUUAAUUUAAAGACAAAAUUCCAAAAAGCUCAUAUCAUACAAGGUUAUAGAAGUUGGAAGUAGUUUUUAAUUAAAUGAGUUUGCACAGGUACAAAAUCACCUGUGCACGAUUCUCCAGCACUUUGAGGUAACAGUUUCAAUAUCUUAACAUGGCCACAAAAAGUCUUUGAAAUAAAAACCUAACUCAUUUUAUGGCCUCAUUGUCCACUGCUUCUGCACCAUAACACAGGACAAUUUUUAGUCUUGCGUUUUUUUCCUUCCCUGCACCAAAAAGUACCUGCCUUUCCUUAACAACUCUGUAAAUAUCACCUAUUCUGCAAGAACUUUCUACAUCCUGGAAAAAAAAAUAGUAUUUCCAUUCUCUAUCAUAGUACUUUAUAUAUAAAUGCUCCAAGUGUUAUAAUAGUUUGUUCAUAUGACUGUCUUUCGCGUUACACUUAAAGCUGCUUCGGGGUGGGCACCAUUCAUAACCAUUUUUUGUAUUCUCGGUACAUGGGCCAGUACCUAGAAUGCAGCAUGUUCUCAGUAACUUGGUAAGUUAAUGAAUGCACAUAAUGGAUAAGGGCAUACAGUAGAAAGUGGCAAAAACAAAUGCACUGUUUUAUUAUGGUGAGCAAACACAAAAUAUCUCUAGGAACUAAUUUUCCUCCUCUCCAAAUUUGCACCCAGGGUUAACUUUUCCCUCUGCGUAUAGAUGAACCUCGCCACAGACAUCAUUUCCUCACAGAUUCACAGAGUUGAAUGUUAGUUUGAGAGAGGGAUUAAUGGUUGAGUCUAGGUAUCUAGACUCAUAUACACCUAUUCUUUCCACUCUCACUCUCAUUUAUUGUGAUCAUGUUCUAUGCCCAGGAGGUUGACCAAUAUGAACUGCAAUCACAAGGUCCCUUGACCUCUGACUUAUAGCAAGGUUAAGCCAAUGAGAAAUUGCUAGCCCAUACUAAAAAGAGAGAAAAGAAACAGGAUUUCCAGCCUUCAGGGCCACUUUGGACAGCCUUCUCCAAAUUUCUCUGUUUUCAUAAUCUAUUAACUUCUCCCUCUCUCUAGUGCUUUAGCCUAAAGGUGGAAGAGAGUGGGUACUACUCAUUAUAGAUCAGAAAUUCCCUAACAUGGCAUUAUCUACAUUCUAUGCAGAAUAAGUAUAUGUUGCAAGGAGCUGCCCAGUGCCUUAUAGGAGGUUUAGCAACAUCCCUGCCAUCUACCCACUAGAUAUAAAUACCUUUUGUAUAGAAACUUGCAGAUUACUUUCAGUUAUUUACUCCCAUUUAAGCUCCAGAACUGUGUAAAUAGAUGUUAUUAUAAUCAUUUUUACAGAUUAGAAAAUGAAACAGUUACAGCACCUAAUAAUCCUGCACCUAAAAAUUCUACAAAGAAAUGGUACAUAUGGAAUUUUUAAAACCAAAAUCAUAAUCUAAUUUUCAUUGUACUGCACUGGCCUUAUAAACAUUAUUAAACUAAACUUCCUUUUAUUACUAUUUUCCUAAAUGCCCGUGUUUUAUCAUCAGGAUUCACUGGUUUCGGAUAAAAUACAAAAGUCAUAGUGGAGUUCUCUGGGCAUAACAUGAAAUAGUUCCAGAGACUGUUCUAUCUUUCCUCCUCUCUUCCCACUACCAUGACGAAGAAAAAAACUUGCACCGAUUGAAAUUUUCUCAUUCAUACAAGACACAGACUGCUAUCGGACUUUAAGAAAUGAUGUCAGCCAUGUGUGCCAUGAAAAAAGUUAUGAAUUCAAAGCAGUAACAGAAGGAGACAUUAUCUUGGAUUCAUUAUCUCCAAAGAAAAUGCAUAUAGGAAUAAAUCGAAUGCAUUUGAGGAAGCUACGACUAAAUGCCCUUCUCCAAUUCAUAACAUAUCCCUUCCCCUGUUGAUAAGUACUAGUAUAAUAAUGGUUAAUAUGGACUCUUGCAAGAAAAAAGGUCAUAUGACAUAGUUGUAAGAGAGGAAAGAAUUAUGACUAGUGCCAGAUAUAACUACAUCUUAUUUCCUUUAAGUUGUCCCAGAGAACACCCAUCAGGCUGUCCAUUCAGUGGCAUCAUUGUCAGGCCACUCCUUAGAGAGUAAAGACAUUAUCUUCUGUUGAGUUCCUGUACAUCCCAAGACGGGUGCAUCAUUAUCAAAUUUAACCCUCACAACACCCCUGAAUGGCCAAUAUCACAUAGGAUGUCAAUUAAUGAUAUUGCUAUUCCCAGUGUUCAGAUGGUACUGCUAUGGUUUGAAUGUGUCGCCCCAAAAUUCGUAUAUCAAAAACUUAAUUGCCAUUGUAAUAGUAUUAGGUAGUAGGGCCUUUUAGAAGUGAUUAGGUGAUAAGGAUAUUCAUCUCACAAAGAGAUUAAUGCUGUGUUUCAAGUGGAUUAGUUAUCUCAGGAGUGAGACCCUGAUAAAAAGAAUGAGGCUGGCCCCAUUUGUUCUCUGUCUAAUGUGCUCACUCACGAUGUGUUGCCUUCCAACAUGAGAGGACUCUCUCUAAAUGCCUGUAUCAUGCUCUUGGACUUCUCGGCCACCAGAACUGUGAGCCAAAUAAAUCUUUUUUCUUUAUAAAUUGCCCAGUCUGUGGCAUUCUGUUACAGCACAGAAAACAAACUCAGAUGGAUACUGAAGCUCAAAGAAGUAGGAUGAGACCUACUGUAUCUCAAGCCUGGCCUCACCACCCCUUCUCGGCCUCUGAUUGUAGCAGGUCAGUUAGAUCACAUCCAACAAGCAGAGUAUUUGUAUGUAACAAGCACUUGAUAAGUUGAAUAAAUAGUUUGUAAAAGUUUCUCCAGUCUUGUGCUCCUAUUAAAGUGUGAAACAUUUUUUCACAUUUCAAAAUAUUUGACAGCCUUGUAUAUGAGAAUAAACCUUUCAUUUUACAGAAAAAUAACUGAUUGCUUAAACUUUUGCUAUCUCUGAAUUUGUUUAAAACACUAAUAAAUU